This 465-nucleotide ribosomal RNA is filed under the name uncultured bacterium. RNAcentral's name for it is "partial 16S ribosomal RNA". It matches the Rfam family "Bacterial small subunit ribosomal RNA", at positions 28 to 507 of the family's 1533-position model. The record is from RNAcentral.
GACGAACGCUGGCGGCGUGCUUAACACAUGCAAGUCGAACGGAAAGGCCCCCUUGUGGGGUACUCGAGUGGCGAACGGGUGAGUAACACGUGAGUAACCUACCCUUGACUUUGGGAUAACUUCAGGAAACUGGGGCUAAUACCGGAUAGGAGCUCCUGCUGCAUGGUGGGGGUUGGAAAGUUUCGGCGGUUGGGGAGGGACUCGCGGCUUAUCAGCUUGUUGGUGGGGGAGUGGCUCACCAAGGCGUUGACGGGUAGCCGGCCUGAGGGGGGGAGCGGCGGAAGGGGGACGGGGAGAAGGCUGAGGAGACGAGGGGAGGCAGCAGGGGGGAAGAGGGCACAAUGGGGGGAAGCCGUAGGCAGCAAGGUCGGGGGCGGGAGGAGGGCCGGCGGGGUGGAAACCGCGUACGCCGGUGACGAACCGGGAGCGACGGGAAGGGGUAAAGAAGCACCGGCUAACUACGGG